AUUGAACGCUUUCUUCCGGCCUCCCCCCUGCACGUCGAGCGGAUGAAGGGAGCUUGCUCCUGGAUUCAGCGGCGGACGGGUGAGUAAUGCCUAGGAAUCUGCCUGGUAGUGGGGGAUAACGUCCGGAAACGGGCGCUAAUACCGCAUACGUCCUGAGGGAGAAAGUGGGGGAUCUUCGGACCUCACGCUAUCAGAUGAGCCUAGGUCGGAUUAGCUAGUUGGUGGGGUAAAGGCCUACCAAGGCGACGAUCCGUAACUGGUCUGAGAGGAUGAUCAGUCACACUGGAACUGAGACACGGUCCAGACUCCUACGGGAGGCAGCAGUGGGGAAUAUUGGACAAUGGGCGAAAGCCUGAUCCAGCCAUGCCGCGUGUGUGAAGAAGGUCUUCGGAUUGUAAAGCACUUUAAGUUGGGAGGAAGGGCAGUAAGUUAAUACCUUGCUGUUUUGACGUUACCAACAGAAUAAGCACCGGCUAACUUCGUG
RNAcentral lists this ribosomal RNA (484 nucleotides) under uncultured bacterium. RNAcentral describes it as "partial 16S ribosomal RNA". It matches the Rfam family "Bacterial small subunit ribosomal RNA", at positions 30 to 507 of the family's 1533-position model. The record is from RNAcentral.